This 2607-nucleotide ribosomal RNA is filed under the name Escherichia coli. RNAcentral's name for it is "partial 23S ribosomal RNA". It matches the Rfam family "Bacterial large subunit ribosomal RNA", at positions 354 to 2925 of the family's 2925-position model. Lineage: Bacteria; Pseudomonadati; Pseudomonadota; Gammaproteobacteria; Enterobacterales; Enterobacteriaceae. The record is from RNAcentral.
GCGAUACAGGGUGACAGCCCCGUACACAAAAAUGCACAUGCUGUGAGCUCGAUGAGUAGGGCGGGACACGUGGUAUCCUGUCUGAAUAUGGGGGGACCAUCCUCCAAGGCUAAAUACUCCUGACUGACCGAUAGUGAACCAGUACCGUGAGGGAAAGGCGAAAAGAACCCCGGCGAGGGGAGUGAAAAAGAACCUGAAACCGUGUACGUACAAGCAGUGGGAGCACAGAGCAAUCUGUGUGACUGCGUACCUUUUGUAUAAUGGGUCAGCGACUUAUAUUCUGUAGCAAGGUUAACCGAAUAGGGGAGCCGAAGGGAAACCGAGUCUUAACUGGGCGUUAAGUUGCAGGGUAUAGACCCGAAACCCGGUGAUCUAGCCAUGGGCAGGUUGAAGGUUGGGUAACACUAACUGGAGGACCGAACCGACUAAUGUUGAAAAAUUAGCGGAUGACUUGUGGCUGGGGGUGAAAGGCCAAUCAAACCGGGAGAUAGCUGGUUCUCCCCGAAAGCUAUUUAGGUAGCGCCUCGUGAAUUCAUCUCCGGGGGUAGAGCACUGUUUCGGCAAGGGGGUCAUCCCGACUUACCAACCCGAUGCAAACUGCGAAUACCGGAGAAUGUUAUCACGGGAGACACACGGCGGGUGCUAACGUCCGUCGUGAAGAGGGAAACAACCCAGACCGCCAGCUAAGGUCCCAAAGUCAUGGUUAAGUGGGAAACGAUGUGGGAAGGCCCAGACAGCCAGGAUGUUGGCUUAGAAGCAGCCAUCAUUUAAAGAAAGCGUAAUAGCUCACUGGUCGAGUCGGCCUGCGCGGAAGAUGUAACGGGGCUAAACCAUGCACCGAAGCUGCGGCAGCGACACUGUGUGUUGUUGGGUAGGGGAGCGUUCUGUAAGCCUGUGAAGGUGUGCUGUGAGGCAUGCUGGAGGUAUCAGAAGUGCGAAUGCUGACAUAAGUAACGAUAAAGCGGGUGAAAAGCCCGCUCGCCGGAAGACCAAGGGUUCCUGUCCAACGUUAAUCGGGGCAGGGUGAGUCGACCCCUAAGGCGAGGCCGAAAGGCGUAGUCGAUGGGAAACAGGUUAAUAUUCCUGUACUUGGUGUUACUGCGAAGGGGGGACGGAGAAGGCUAUGUUGGCCGGGCGACGGUUGUCCCGGUUUAAGCGUGUAGGCUGGUUUUCCAGGCAAAUCCGGAAAAUCAAGGCUGAGGCGUGAUGACGAGGCACUACGGUGCUGAAGCAACAAAUGCCCUGCUUCCAGGAAAAGCCUCUAAGCAUCAGGUAACAUCAAAUCGUACCCCAAACCGACACAGGUGGUCAGGUAGAGAAUACCAAGGCGCUUGAGAGAACUCGGGUGAAGGAACUAGGCAAAAUGGUGCCGUAACUUCGGGAGAAGGCACGCUGAUAUGUAGGUGAAGUCCCUCGCGGAUGGAGCUGAAAUCAGUCGAAGAUACCAGCUGGCUGCAACUGUUUAUUAAAAACACAGCACUGUGCAAACACGAAAGUGGACGUAUACGGUGUGACGCCUGCCCGGUGCCGGAAGGUUAAUUGAUGGGGUCAGCGCAAGCGAAGCUCUUGAUCGAAGCCCCGGUAAACGGCGGCCGUAACUAUAACGGUCCUAAGGUAGCGAAAUUCCUUGUCGGGUAAGUUCCGACCUGCACGAAUGGCGUAAUGAUGGCCAGGCUGUCUCCACCCGAGACUCAGUGAAAUUGAACUCGCUGUGAAGAUGCAGUGUACCCGCGGCAAGACGGAAAGACCCCGUGAACCUUUACUAUAGCUUGACACUGAACAUUGAGCCUUGAUGUGUAGGAUAGGUGGGAGGCUUUGAAGUGUGGACGCCAGUCUGCAUGGAGCCGACCUUGAAAUACCACCCUUUAAUGUUUGAUGUUCUAACGUGGACCCGUGAUCCGGGUUGCGGACAGUGUCUGGUGGGUAGUUUGACUGGGGCGGUCUCCUCCUAAAGAGUAACGGAGGAGCACGAAGGUUGGCUAAUCCUGGUCGGACAUCAGGAGGUUAGUGCAAUGGCAUAAGCCAGCUUGACUGCGAGCGUGACGGCGCGAGCAGGUGCGAAAGCAGGUCAUAGUGAUCCGGUGGUUCUGAAUGGAAGGGCCAUCGCUCAACGGAUAAAAGGUACUCCGGGGAUAACAGGCUGAUACCGCCCAAGAGUUCAUAUCGACGGCGGUGUUUGGCACCUCGAUGUCGGCUCAUCACAUCCUGGGGCUGAAGUAGGUCCCAAGGGUAUGGCUGUUCGCCAUUUAAAGUGGUACGCGAGCUGGGUUUAGAACGUCGUGAGACAGUUCGGUCCCUAUCUGCCGUGGGCGCUGGAGAACUGAGGGGGGCUGCUCCUAGUACGAGAGGACCGGAGUGGACGCAUCACUGGUGUUCGGGUUGUCAUGCCAAUGGCACUGCCCGGUAGCUAAAUGCGGAAGAGAUAAGUGCUGAAAGCAUCUAAGCACGAAACUUGCCCCGAGAUGAGUUCUCCCUGACCCUUUAAGGGUCCUGAAGGAACGUUGAAGACGACGACGUUGAUAGGCCGGGUGUGUAAGCGCAGCGAUGCGUUGAGCUAACCGGUACUAAUGAACCGUGAGGCUUAACCUUACAACGCCGAAGGUGUUU